RNAcentral lists this ribosomal RNA (2932 nucleotides) under Klebsiella aerogenes. RNAcentral describes it as "bacterial LSU rRNA". It matches the Rfam family "Bacterial large subunit ribosomal RNA". The record is from RNAcentral. Lineage: Bacteria; Pseudomonadati; Pseudomonadota; Gammaproteobacteria; Enterobacterales; Enterobacteriaceae.
GGGUUGUGAGGUUAAGCGACUAAGCGUACACGGUGGAUGCCCUGGCAGUCAGAGGCGAUGAAGGACGUGCUAAUCUGCGAAAAGCGUCGGUAAGGUGAUAUGAACCGUUACAGCCGGCGAUGUCCGAAUGGGGAAACCCAGUGCAAUUCGUUGCACUAUCGUUAACUGAAUACAUAGGUUAACGAGGCGAACCGGGGGAACUGAAACAUCUAAGUACCCCGAGGAAAAGAAAUCAACCGAGAUUCCCCCAGUAGCGGCGAGCGAACGGGGAGCAGCCCAGAGUCUGAAUCAGCUUGUGUGUUAGUGGAACGGUCUGGAAAGUCCGACGGUACAGGGUGAUAGUCCCGUACACCAAAAUGCACAGGUUGUGAACUCGAAGAGUAGGGCGGGACACGUGGUAUCCUGUCUGAAUAUGGGGGGACCAUCCUCCAAGGCUAAAUACUCCUGACUGACCGAUAGUGAACCAGUACCGUGAGGGAAAGGCGAAAAGAACCCCGGCGAGGGGAGUGAAAAAGAACCUGAAACCGUGUACGUACAAGCAGUGGGAGCACCUUCGGGUGUGACUGCGUACCUUUUGUAUAAUGGGUCAGCGACUUAUAUUCUGUAGCAAGGUUAACCGUAUAGGGGAGCCGCAGGGAAACCGAGUCUUAACUGGGCGUUAAGUUGCAGGGUAUAGACCCGAAACCCGGUGAUCUAGCCAUGGGCAGGUUGAAGGUUGGGUAACACUAACUGGAGGACCGAACCGACUAAUGUUGAAAAAUUAGCGGAUGACUUGUGGCUGGGGGUGAAAGGCCAAUCAAACCGGGAGAUAGCUGGUUCUCCCCGAAAGCUAUUUAGGUAGCGCCUCGUGAAUUCAUCUUCGGGGGUAGAGCACUGUUUCGGCUAGGGGGUCAUCCCGACUUACCAACCCGAUGCAAACUACGAAUACCGAAGAAUGUUAUCACGGGAGACACACGGCGGGUGCUAACGUCCGUCGUGAAGAGGGAAACAACCCAGACCGCCAGCUAAGGUCCCAAAGUCACAGUUAAGUGGGAAACGAUGUGGGAAGGCACAGACAGCCAGGAUGUUGGCUUAGAAGCAGCCAUCAUUUAAAGAAAGCGUAAUAGCUCACUGGUCGAGUCGGCCUGCGCGGAAGAUGUAACGGGGCUAAACUGUGCACCGAAGCUGCGGCAGCGACACUUAGGUGUUGUUGGGUAGGGGAGCGUUCUGUAAGCCUGCGAAGGUGGCCUGUGAGGGUUGCUGGAGGUAUCAGAAGUGCGAAUGCUGACAUAAGUAACGAUAAUGCGGGUGAAAAGCCCGCACGCCGGAAGACCAAGGGUUCCUGUCCAACGUUAAUCGGGGCAGGGUGAGUCGACCCCUAAGGCGAGGCCGAAAGGCGUAGUCGAUGGGAAACAGGUUAAUAUUCCUGUACUUGGUGUUACUGCGAAGGGGGGACGGAGAAGGCUAUGUUAGCCGGGCGACGGUUGUCCCGGUUUAAGCAUGUAGGCGGAGGUUCCAGGUAAAUCCGGUACCUUUUAACGCUGAGGUGUGAUGACGAGGCACUACGGUGCUGAAGUAACAAAUGCCCUGCUUCCAGGAAAAGCCUCUAAGCAUCAGGUAACAUUGAAUCGUACCCCAAACCGACACAGGUGGUCAGGUAGAGAAUACCAAGGCGCUUGAGAGAACUCGGGUGAAGGAACUAGGCAAAAUGGUGCCGUAACUUCGGGAGAAGGCACGCUGAUAUGUAGGUGAAGCCCCUGCGGGUGGAGCUGAAAUCAGUCGAAGAUACCAGCUGGCUGCAACUGUUUAUUAAAAACACAGCACUGUGCAAACACGAAAGUGGACGUAUACGGUGUGACGCCUGCCCGGUGCCGGAAGGUUAAUUGAUGGGGUUAUCCGUAAGGAGAAGCUCUUGAUCGAAGCCCCGGUAAACGGCGGCCGUAACUAUAACGGUCCUAAGGUAGCGAAAUUCCUUGUCGGGUAAGUUCCGACCUGCACGAAUGGCGUAAUGAUGGCCAGGCUGUCUCCACCCGAGACUCAGUGAAAUUGAACUCGCUGUGAAGAUGCAGUGUACCCGCGGCAAGACGGAAAGACCCCGUGAACCUUUACUAUAGCUUGACACUGAACAUUGAGCCUUGAUGUGUAGGAUAGGUGGGAGGCUUUGAAGCGUGGACGCCAGUCUGCGUGGAGCCAACCUUGAAAUACCACCCUUUAAUGUUUGAUGUUCUAACGUUGGCCCCUGACCGGGGUUGCGGACAGUGUCUGGUGGGUAGUUUGACUGGGGCGGUCUCCUCCCAAAGAGUAACGGAGGAGCACGAAGGUUAGCUAAUCCUGGUCGGACAUCAGGAGGUUAGUGCAAUGGCAUAAGCUAGCUUGACUGCGAGCGUGACGGCGCGAGCAGGUGCGAAAGCAGGUCAUAGUGAUCCGGUGGUUCUGAAUGGAAGGGCCAUCGCUCAACGGAUAAAAGGUACUCCGGGGAUAACAGGCUGAUACCGCCCAAGAGUUCAUAUCGACGGCGGUGUUUGGCACCUCGAUGUCGGCUCAUCACAUCCUGGGGCUGAAGUAGGUCCCAAGGGUAUGGCUGUUCGCCAUUUAAAGUGGUACGCGAGCUGGGUUUAGAACGUCGUGAGACAGUUCGGUCCCUAUCUGCCGUGGGCGCUGGAGAAUUGAGGGGGGCUGCUCCUAGUACGAGAGGACCGGAGUGGACGCAUCACUGGUGUUCGGGUUGUCAUGCCAAUGGCAUUGCCCGGUAGCUAAAUGCGGAAGAGAUAAGUGCUGAAAGCAUCUAAGCACGAAACUUGCCCCGAGAUGAGUUCUCCCUGAGACUUUAAGUCUCCUGAAGGAACGUUAAAGACGAUGACGUUGAUAGGUCGGGUGUGUAAGCGUAGCGAUACGUUGAGCUAACCGAUACUAAUGAACCGUGAGGCUUAACCUUACAACGCCGAAGGUGUUU